This is a long non-coding RNA of Dermacentor albipictus, 762 nucleotides long. RefSeq lists it as uncharacterized. The record is from RefSeq and is a predicted model, not a curated record. Lineage: Eukaryota; Metazoa; Arthropoda; Arachnida; Ixodida; Ixodidae.
GGUGAAAAAUGCAUGUGGGUCCGAGCCAUUCUUGGAGGCAAGCAACCAAACAAAAGACUAGUUGGCUCGUGCCAUUUCCUGAGGCUACCAUCGCCAUCAUCAUUGGAGCUGCCUCGAGCUAAGCGUGUUCGGCGGUUCCGAGCGUUGGUUCGUGGCUGAUUUCAGGGAAAGAUCGUGUAGCAGCUGCUCGAUGGAAGCUGACUUGGCUCUUGACCAGCACAGCUCUUCGCGGACGUCACCUGCAGUGGCAGAACCCGCAACGCGUGCGGUAACCCGCGUCCCACUGCAUUCACGGCGGCAAAUUGCUGCACUUGCCGGCCGCUCAAUUUUGCCCCGCCGCGCCGGCGCUGUUGGAAAUACCUAUCGCUUCAGUGCCGUGAAAGCCGCCGUCCGGCGCUUCCUCAAGGACCCGGUAGGCCAGCCGCUGCCUAAACCUGUCGAGAACUGCCUAACCGCACGAUUCAAGAAGAUACUGAGGGCUUACGCCACGCUGGUCGCCGAAGAGCUCCGCUUUCUGCAGCUUGUUCAGUACCUGGAAGAACGGUUGGCCGCGGCUGGUCGGGAACUGGGCAUCCUACAGGAGCGCCUCGCACAAGCCGAGUCUCAUUGGUUCAGCCAGUGGCGGAGUCCAAGAGCAGGAGACCAUGCGCGAGGCCCGGGUUGCUGAUGCCACGGAUGCGUCACACCACCGUCUUGUGGGAGCAAGUACUCGCCAAACACCGCCAGCGGUGUUCUAAAUAAAGGCUUUGGAUGAAAAAAUUA